This 1224-nucleotide ribosomal RNA is filed under the name metagenome. Its description in RNAcentral is "bacterial LSU rRNA". It matches the Rfam family "Bacterial large subunit ribosomal RNA", at positions 1581 to 2815 of the family's 2925-position model. The record is from RNAcentral.
GGCGUUGGAGCAGUGUACGUCAGACUUCCAAGAAAAGCUCGCAAUGUCAUAAAUAAGAAAUGCCUGUACCAUAACCGACACAGGUGGGUAGGUAGAGUAUACUAAGGGGCGCGAGAUAACUCUCUCUAAGGAACUCGGCAAAAUGACUCCGUAACUUCGGGAGAAGGAGUGCCUUAUUUAUAAGGUUGCAAUAACAAGAUCCAAGCAACUGUUUAUCAAAAACACAGGUCUCCGCUAAGUCGUAAGACGAUGUAUGGGGGCUGACGCCUGCCCAGUGCCAGAAGGUUAAAGAAGUUGGUUAGUGUAUGCGAAGCUGAUGACUGAAGCCCUGGUGAACGGCGGCCGUAACUAUAACGGUCCUAAGGUAGCGAAAUUCCUUGUCGGGUAAGUUCCGACCCGCACGAAAGGCGUAAUGAUUUGGAUACUGUCUCGGAGAGAGGCUCGGUGAAAUAGACUUGUCUGUGAAGAUGCGGACUACCUGCACCAGGACAGAAAGACCCUAUGAAGCUUUACUGUAACUUGAAAUUGGAAUUGGACUUUGCUUGCGCAGUAUAGGUGGGAAGCGUUGAAGAUAUUCUUGCGGGAGUAUUGGAGCUAUCAGUGAGAUACCACUCUUGUAAUGUUAGAUUUCUAACUUUGAACCAUAAUCUGGUCAAAGAACAGUUUCAGGUGGGCAGUUUGACUGGGGCGGUCGCCUCCCAAAUGGUAACGGAGGCGUACAAAGGUUUCCUCUGAACGGAUAGAAAUCGUAUCUAGAGUGUAAAGGCAUAAGGAAGCUUGACUGUGAGACCUACAAGUCGAGCAGGGACGAAAGUCGGUCUUAGUGAUCUGACGGUACUGAGUGGAAAGGCCGUCACUCAACGGAUAAAAGUUACUCUAGGAUAACAGGCUGAUCUCCCCCAAGAGUUCACAUCGACGGGGAGGUUUGGCACCUCGAUGUCGGCUCAUCGCAUCCUGGGGCGGUAGUACGUCCCAAGGGUUGGGCUGUUCGCCCAUGAAAGCGGUACGCGAGCUGGGUUCAGAACGUCGUGAGACAGUUCGGUCCAUAUCCGGUGUAGGCGUUAGAAUAUUGAGAGGAGCCUUCUUUAGUACGAGAGGACCGAGAAGGACACACCGCUGGUGUACCAGUUAUCGUGCCAACGGUAAACGCUGGGUAGCUAUGUGUGGAGUGGAUAACCGCUGAAAGCAUCUAAGUGGGAAGCCCACCUCAAGAUGAGUAUUCUC